AGAGUUUGAUCCUGGCUCAGGAUUAACGCUGGCGGUAUGCCUAACACAUGCAAGUCGAACGGAAUACUAAUUAAGAGAAAUCUCACACUAGUGAGAGGUUCUCACGAGUAGUAUUUAGUGGCGGACGGGUGAGUAACACGUUGGAACCUGCCCCGAAGUGGGGAAUAACUGCUCGAAAGAGUAGCUAAUACCCCAUAGUAUCCGGUUUAUCCGGAUUAAAGAUUUAUCGCUUCGGGAGGGGCCUGCGUCUGAUUAGCUAGUUGGUGAGGUAAAAGCUCACCAAGGCGACGAUCAGUAGCUGGUUCGAGAGGAUGACCAGCCACACUGGGACUGAGAUACGGCCCAGACUCCUACGGGAGGCAGCAGUGAGGAAUCUUCCACAAUGGCGCACGCCUGAUGGAGCAAUACCGCGUGCAGGAAGACGCUUUUCGGAGUGUAAACUGCUUUUGUCGUCGAAGAUUAUGACUGUAGACGAAGAAUAAGGACCGGCUAACUACGUG
Molecule: ribosomal RNA, 500 nt
Filed under: uncultured bacterium
Lineage: Bacteria
Description: bacterial SSU rRNA
Rfam family: Bacterial small subunit ribosomal RNA
Source: RNAcentral